Non-coding RNA from Paramuricea clavata, 479 nucleotides. The record is from the annotation of a GenBank genome assembly. Lineage: Eukaryota; Metazoa; Cnidaria; Anthozoa; Malacalcyonacea; Plexauridae.
CUUGUGUUUUUAAUUUUACCAGUAUUACAAGUCGUCCACUGAUGGCUUAGUGGUAUGUCGUUUAGCCUGUCUCGAUAAGCAUUUGGGUUCAAAUCCAGUUGAACUCAUGUUUUGUAGCAGACUCACAAUAUUUUUUUCCCUUUAUUUAUUCUGACUAUUUUUUAUUCUUUUCAUACCUCUAUGUGCAAAAUCCGUUUACAAGUAUAAGAAAAUAUUGCCAUGUUGAAACUGGCUCGAAAAGAUUAAGUUAAUCAUUCCAUAUUGUCUAAUUUCGCAAGGAUUUAACGCGGCACUUGCCGUGCGAUAGUAACUUCUUGUUUUAGUUGACACUAUCACGAAGCCGGCGAACGGCUAAGCGUGGUAGAAAGUAUAUUAAAACCCGGCUAAGCACGGCUAAGCAUUUUUUAUAUGAAAAUGCGCAUUAAAAUUCCCCUGUACCAAAACGUUUUGCAUCAAUAUGCGUGUUGAACAUUUCUAAG